UAUGAGUAGCGAAAGAGGGGUGAGAAUCCCCUCCACCGAAUGCCUAAGGUUUCCUGAGGAAGGCUCGUCCGCUCAGGGUUAGUCGGGACCUAAGCCGAGGCCGAAAGGCGUAGGCGAUGGACAACAGGUUGAUAUUCCUGUACCACCUCCUCACCAUUUGAGCAAUGGGGGGACGCAGGAGGAUAGGGUAAGCGCGGUAUUGGAUAUCCGCGUCCAAGCAGUUAGGCUGGGAAAUAGGCAAAUCCGUUUCCCAUAAGGCUGAGCUGUGAUGGCGAGCGAAAUAUAGUAGCGAAGUUCCUGAUUCCACACUGCCAAGAAAAGCCUCUAGCGAGGUGAGAGGUGCCCAUACCGCAAACCGACACAGGUAGGCGAGGAGAGAAUCCUAAGGUGAUCGAGAGAACUCUCGUUAAGGAACUCGGCAAAAUGACCCCGUAACUUCGGGAGAAGGGGUGCUCUGUUAGGGUGCAAGCCCGAGAGAGCCGCAGUGAAUAGGCCCAGGCGACUGUUUAGCAAAAACACAGGUCUCUGCGAAGCCGUAAGGCGAAGUAUAGGGGCUGACGCCUGCCCGGUGCUGGAAGGUUAAGAGGAGCGCUUAGCGUAAGCGAAGGUGCGAAUUGAAGCCCCAGUAAACGGCGGCCGUAACGAUAACGGUCCUAAGGUAGCGAAAUUCCUUGUCGGGUAAGUUCCGACCCGCACGAAAGGCGCAACGAUCUGGGCACUGUCUCAACGAGAGACUCGGUGAAAUUAUAGUACCUGUGAAGAUGCAGGUUACCCGCGACAGGACGGAAAGACCCCGUGGAGCUUUACUGCAGCCUGAUAUUGAAUGUUGGUACAGCUUGUACAGGAUAGGUAGGAGCCUUGGAAACCGGAGCGCCAGCUUUGGUGGAGGCAUCGGUGGGAUACUACCCUGGCUGUAUUGACCUUCUAACCCGCCGCCCUUAUCGGGCGGGGAGACAGUGUCAGGUGGGCAGUUUGACUGGGGCGGUCGCCUCCUAAAAGGUAACGGAGGCGCCCAAAGGUUCCCUCAGAAUGGUUGGAAAUCAUUCGCAGAGUGUAAAGGCACAAGGGAGCUUGACUGCGAGACCUACAAGUCGAGCAGGGACGAAAGUCGGGCUUAGUGAUCCGGUGGUUCCGCAUGGAAGGGCCAUCGCUCAACGGAUAAAAGCUACCCCGGGGAUAACAGGCUUAUCUCCCCCAAGAGUCCACAUCGACGGGGAGGUUUGGCACCUCGAUGUCGGCUCAUCGCAUCCUGGGGCUGUAGUCGGUCCCAAGGGUUGGGCUGUUCGCCCAUUAAAGCGGUACGCGAGCUGGGUUCGGAACGUCGUGAGACAGUUCGGUCCCUAUCCGUCGCGGGCGCAGGAAAUUUGAGAGGAGCUGUCCUUAGUACGAGAGGACCGGGAUGGACGCACCGCUGGUGUACCAGUUGUUCUGCCAAGGGCAUCGCUGGGUAGCUAUGUGCGGACGGGAUAAGUGCUGAAAGCAUCUAAGCAUGAAGCCCCCCUCAAGAUGAGAUUUCCCAUUCCGCGAGGAAGUAAGAUCCCUGAAAGAUGAUCAGGUUGAUAGGUCUGAGGUGGAAGUGUGGCGACACAUGGAGCUGACAGAUACUAAUCGAUCGAGGACUUAAUC
RNAcentral lists this ribosomal RNA (1626 nucleotides) under metagenome. Its description in RNAcentral is "bacterial LSU rRNA". It matches the Rfam family "Bacterial large subunit ribosomal RNA", at positions 1301 to 2925 of the family's 2925-position model. The record is from RNAcentral.